AGAUUCAUGAUCGAUGGUGCGUGAGAUCAACAGAACAAAAACAAGACCCUACGGCCCAUUAGACAGCCCAAGAUCAACUUAAACAGCCCAGUUGCCUGCACACGAGCGAGCAGAGAGGGAAAAGACGCACACGGUCGCAGAAACGGCGCGAGGCCGACGGAAAAGGGCGCGAGAACCAGAGAAAGGGCGCAAGAACCAGACAAAGGGCGCGAAAAAUACCAUCGCCGGAGGGGACGAGCUCUGGCGACAAGCUGCUCUUCAAUCGUGUAAGUCUGAUCUUGCUCCUAACAUCUUCAGCUGAAUGGUUGAGAUUGUUGUGAAGCGGUUGAUCAUCAGAUUGUUCUGAACUUGAUCAGGUGGUUCCUUCUCUCAUGAAAGAACCACCUGGUUGAGAUGGAAGAAGAGGGCAACAAAGCAGACAAUGAGUCCAAUGCAGCUAUACUACCAGAUUUCAUACCUCAAGUUGGCAUGGAAUUUGGAAGUUCAGAUGAGGCUUGGGCAUUUUGGCUUCGUUAUGGUGGGCACAGAGGCUUUGAAGUUAGAAAAAGGUACACAAACAAAAGGGAGUCUGAUGGCAAGAUUACAUCAUGUAAAUUUGUUUGUGCAAAUGAGGGUCAUCGAGUAGCAGACAAAAGGGAUCAUUUAACAAAGUGCCCUCGAGCUGAAACUAGAACAGACUGUCAAGUUCACAUGAAUCUUAAACUUGAUAGGAAAAAGGAAAUUUUUAAGUAUCUUAUGUGUUUUUGGAACACAAUCACAAACUACACCUUCCUGAAAUCUUACACUUAAUGGUGUCGCGGAGAAAAAUUCCAGAUUUACAAGCAUUUGAAAUUGAAACAGCAGAUGAUGCUGGAAUUGGACCAAAAGCUGCGCAUGAGUUGGCUUGUCGCCAAGUUGGCGGACCACUCAAUCUUAGCUACACCCUUCGUGAUCACAAGAAUUAUUUACGGUCCAAGCGCCAACAAGAAUUAUUUACGGUCCAAUCUGCAGGGACCAAUUAUUGAUGACUUUGAUGGUGAAGAGGCUUUGAUGGACAAGGAGAAGGAUUCCAAUGAGAAGAUGGCCCUCAAAAGCUUCACCCAACUCUUGACUGGACCAAUCAGUGAUGAUCUUCUUACUGGAGAUUUAUUGUAGUAACUCGGGUUUGCUGUUUUGCUCCAAGUGGGCAUAUGCGUUCACCUUUCUUUUGCUAUUUUGCAAGCAUCCUAGAAGCAUGGAUAACUUUAGUUCUGUGUAAUUUAUGUAUUUACCUUCCUGUGAUUUGAAUGUAUGAAUGCAUUUGACAGCAUGCAGAAAUCUCUGCAGGAAUCUCAACAUUUUCUCAA
This is a long non-coding RNA of Panicum virgatum (switchgrass), 1325 nucleotides long. RefSeq lists it as uncharacterized. The transcript is spliced from 2 exons. The record is from RefSeq and is a predicted model, not a curated record. NCBI's taxonomy places the organism in Eukaryota, Viridiplantae, Streptophyta, Magnoliopsida, Poales, Poaceae.